Molecule: ribosomal RNA, 839 nt
Filed under: Microbacterium saccharophilum
Lineage: Bacteria; Bacillati; Actinomycetota; Actinomycetes; Micrococcales; Microbacteriaceae
Description: bacterial SSU rRNA
Rfam family: Bacterial small subunit ribosomal RNA
Source: RNAcentral
AUCAGUGGCGAACGGGUGAGUAACACGUGAGCAAUCUGCCCCUGACUCUGGGAUAAGCGCUGGAAACGGCGUCUAAUACCGGAUACGAGCUGCGAAGGCAUCUUCAGCAGCUGGAAAGAACUUCGGUCAGGGAUGAGCUCSCGGCCUAUCAGCUAGUUGGUGAGGUAACGGCUCACCAAGGCGUCGACGGGUAGCCGGCCUGAGAGGGUGACCGGCCACACUGGGACUGAGACACGGCCCAGACUCCUACGGGAGGCAGCAGUGGGGAAUAUUGCACAAUGGGCGAAAGCCUGAUGCAGCAACGCCGCGUGAGGGACGACGGCCUUCGGGUUGUAAACCUCUUUUAGCAGGGAAGAAGCGAAAGUGACGGUACCUGCAGAAAAAGCGCCGGCUAACUACGUGCCAGCAGCCGCGGUAAUACGUAGGGCGCAAGCGUUAUCCGGAAUUAUUGGGCGUAAAGAGCUCGUAGGCGGUUUGUCGCGUCUGCUGUGAAAACCCGAGGCUCAACCUCGGGCCUGCAGUGGGUACGGGCAGACUAGAGUGCGGUAGGGGAGAUUGGAAUUCCUGGUGUAGCGGUGGAAUGCGCAGAUAUCAGGAGGAACACCGAUGGCGAAGGCAGAUCUCUGGGCCGUAACUGACGCUGAGGAGCGAAAGGGUGGGGAGCAAACAGCUUAGAUACYCUGGUAGUCCACCCCGUAAACGUUGGGAACUAGUUGUGGGGACCAUUUCCACGGUUUCCGUGACGCAGCUAACGCAUUAAGUUCCCCGCCUGGGGAGUACGCGCAGCUAAACUCAAGAAUUGACGGGACYCGCACAGCGCGAGCAUGCGAUUAUCGAUG